GCAAGUCGAACGAAACCCUUAGGGGUUUAGUGGCGGACGGGUGAGUAACGCGUGAGAAACUGCCUUCAGAUUGGGGACAACAGUUGGAAACGACUGCUAAUACCGAAUAUGACCUAGGGUAAAAGAUUUAUUGUCUGAAGAUGUGCUCGCGUCUGAUUAGCUAGUUGGUGGGGUAAAAGCCUACCAAGGCAACGAUCAGUAGCUGUUCUGAGAGGAAGACC
RNAcentral lists this ribosomal RNA (221 nucleotides) under uncultured bacterium. RNAcentral's name for it is "partial 16S ribosomal RNA". It matches the Rfam family "Bacterial small subunit ribosomal RNA", at positions 57 to 305 of the family's 1533-position model. The record is from RNAcentral.